CUGGGGCCGAAUGCGCGCGCGCGGUGCUCGAGGCGGAGGGGAGGGGGCGGGGAAGGCGAAAGGAGGGGUUCCGAGGAGAGGGUUCGAUCUCCGCACGCGCCAGAGUUGCAUGCUGAGAAUUUGAAAAAUGAAGAUGUUGUAGACACUGGACUAUUAGGAUUCUGGACUCUACUUAUGAUAUCCCUAACUGCUGGAUUCUCCUGUUGCAGCUUUUCUUGGACAGUGACUUACUUUGAUUCUUUUGAACCAGGAAUGUUUCCUCCUACUCCUCUUUCACCUGCCAGGUUCAAGAAACUGACUGGACAUUCUUUCCACAUGGGCUAUAGCAUGGCGAUUUUGAAUGGCAUCGUAGCUGCUCUUACUGUAGCAUGGUGUCUCAUGUAAACCCACACUGGAGCAAUAUUGUUGGCAAAACUUAAUCAUGAUUGUUUUGUAAUAACAAGAAGGAGCAUCAUUGUCUACUCAGAAGACUGAGAAACCUGCUGUUCAUUAUGUAGUUCAGAUAUUUAUCACAAUCAUCAUCAUUAUGGAAGACCUUUAAAAGCAUUGUUUUAGAAUGUCUGAGUAUUAAGAUACAGAUUAAUUGGGAAUAUCUGAGUAUUAAGUUUUAAGUACUUUCUUCAGAGUAUAAGAUGUUUACCUCAUCUUUUUACUUUUGUGUGUGUAGUUCUUUCAAGUUGUAGGAAACAUUUUAAUGGAAUUUAAACUCAAAAACUUGAAUACAGGACAAUGCUUGCCUUUUCAUGUUUGUACUACAUUUUUUGCUAAGAAAUACUGGUAUGUCUGUUUAGUUGAGCUAGAAAUACUUCUUAUUUAUACAUUUAGGAAAGCAAAUAAUGCGUACUACUCCGACUUUUAUAGAAGCUACUUUUAAAUCAGAAUAUUUAAUUUUUGAUAUUCGUAUAAUUAAUAGAAGUUGCAUUUAUAUUUUUUAUGGGGCAUAGUUCCUUAUGUGUUUUUUAAUGUAUUUUCAUACUACAUAUUGAAUUUGUAUGUUUUUAAAAUUAUUACAUCUAGACAACUGUAAACAUUAUUUUUUUAGCUAGUGCAAACCUAGUGCCUGCCAUUUUUACUAAUUUUUUUCUUUAAAAAAAGCAAAAAAGCACAUUGACCUAAGUUUAAAAUUAAAUAAGUUUAUUUUUAACAAAAAAUGCCUGAAAAAGGUAAAUUAUUUAAGUCAUUAAAAUAUUGAGAAAAAAUUUGAAAUUUUUGCUAUUUCUGUUUCCACAAUUCCAAAUACUUAUCUUGGUGUAUAUAUUGUUACUUUAACAGAACUUGUAUUAUUUUGUUUUUAAUAAAUAUAAACAUGAAAU
Molecule: small RNA, 1313 nt
Filed under: Pongo abelii (Sumatran orangutan)
Lineage: Eukaryota; Metazoa; Chordata; Mammalia; Primates; Hominidae
Description: processed transcript
Source: RNAcentral